RNAcentral lists this long non-coding RNA (1040 nucleotides) under Nicotiana tabacum (common tobacco). Its description in RNAcentral is "long non-coding RNA (NTAB_LNC012694)". Lineage: Eukaryota; Viridiplantae; Streptophyta; Magnoliopsida; Solanales; Solanaceae. The record is from RNAcentral.
AGCUUGGCGAUUGGCCAACCGAGCGGUGGAAUCGUUCGAUUUCCGUCAACGUGUGGCCGCCGGUUGACCUUAGCUGUAGAUCUGAUGCUUUUCGCAAUGGUUCGAUGGAGCUGAGCAUCAGAUCUGUUUGGUCUUCAGAGAUUUGUUGAGGUUGGAUUAGUAGUUUGAGCAACCGAGGUGUUAUUUUACCGAGGCUUCCAACGUUGUUUUCUAGAGCUUUAUCGGUGAGCUAAAUAUGCUUAUUGGGUUUUGUUUAUUUGGAGAAGAUGUGUUAAGCAAUUUAUGUUUGUUGAAAACAAGCUAAUCCUUUUACAUAUUGCAGAUAUGAAUAGAGAUGCAAGGACUAUUGAAUCGGUGCUGCCGUUGUUUUGCAUCAAACGGUUUAGACUGGUAAUCUUCGAUCGAGGGUUGAAUCAGCUAGCGUGAUGGUGUAUUUAAGGUUAUAAUAGUUUAAUUUAUUGUCUACAAUUAUUUAAAUGGCUCAUUUGCAUUAGUUUUUAUUUAUUUAUUUAUGCAUAUGUACGCGAGGAUGAAAGAUUGAGCGACGUUGUGAGUUAUGAGAGGAAAAAUUGAGGUAUUUAUUGUCAUGUUAUCAGGCCUUUGCCAUGUUGGGUGCGCUCGCAUGGCAGGUCAAAAGUACAUUAUAAAAGUAUUCAUUUUGGGUGUUGGAGAGGAGAAGGCACGGGGUUUUGCCCGGCUCUGCUCUCUUUGCGUGUCUCGUGUCCUUUUUGGCUCUGCUCUUUCUUUUUUCCUGCGUCCAACAACUUUGCGUCGAUCAGUGGUUACUUGUCGUUGAAUAGGCCUUGUGAUUACUGUUGUGUAUUUUGAGGCGAGUCUUAUUCAAAGACAAGUAACUCAUGUUGAUUUGCUAUAUGCUCCACGGCGAUGGAUACAAGCAACGUUUCUACUGCAGCACGCCACUAGAGGUACAAUAUCAAUUCUCUUAGUUAAAGUUAACUAACAUUUUUUAUAACAUUUAUCAAUUCUAAACUGAUUGCCUUAAUUAUCACCUUCACUAACUUAUACUCGUAUAAAAGCUU